Molecule: ribosomal RNA, 557 nt
Filed under: Nigrospora sp. SGLAf14
Lineage: Eukaryota; Fungi; Ascomycota; Sordariomycetes; Amphisphaeriales; Apiosporaceae
Description: eukaryotic LSU rRNA
Rfam family: Eukaryotic large subunit ribosomal RNA
Source: RNAcentral
CAACAGGGAUUCCCCUAGUAACGGCGAGUGAAGCGGGAACAGCUCAAAUUUGAAAUCUGGCCCUCGGGUCCGAGUUGUAAUUUGUAGAGGAUGCUUUUGGUGCGGUGCCUUCCGAGUUCCCUGGAACGGGACGCCUUAGAGGGUGAGAGCCCCGUACGGUUGGACGCCUAGCCUCUGUAAAGCUCCUUCGACGAGUCGAGUAGUUUGGGAAUGCUGCUCUAAAUGGGAGGUAUAUUUCUUCUAAAGCUAAAUACUGGCCAGAGACCGAUAGCGCACAAGUAGAGUGAUCGAAAGAUGAAAAGCACUUUGAAAAGAGGGUUAAAUAGCACGUGAAAUUGUUGAAAGGGAAGCGUUUAUCACCAGACUUUUUCUAGGGGGAUCAUCCGGUGUUCUCACCGGUGCACUUCCCCUGGUUGAGGCCAGCAUCGGUUUUCGGAGGGGGAUAAAAGCUUCGGGAAUGUGACUCCCUCGGGAGUGUUAUAGCCCGUUGCAUAAUACCCUUCUGGGGACCGAGGUUCGCGCAUCUGCAAGGAUGCUGGCAUAAUGGUGAUCAACGA